UACAGAGGGGGCAAGCGUUGUUCGGAAUUACUGGGCGUAAAGGGUGCGUAGGCGGGUCUUUAAGUCAGGGGUGAAAUCCUGGAGCUCAACUCCAGAACUGCCUUUGAUACUGAAGAUCUUGAGUUCGGGAGAGGUGAGUGGAACUGCGAGUGUAGAGGUGAAAUUCGUAGAUAUUCGCAAGAACACCAGUGGCGAAGGCGGCUCACUGGCCCGAUACUGACGCUGAGGUGCGAAAGCGUGGGGAGCAAACAGG
This 253-nucleotide ribosomal RNA is filed under the name uncultured bacterium. RNAcentral describes it as "partial 16S ribosomal RNA". It matches the Rfam family "Bacterial small subunit ribosomal RNA", at positions 524 to 776 of the family's 1533-position model. The record is from RNAcentral.